CACUAUCGUUAACUGAAUACAUAGGUUAACGAGGCGAACCGGGGGAACUGAAACAUCUAAGUACCCCGAGGAAAAGAAAUCAACCGAGAUUCCCCCAGUAGCGGCGAGCGAACGGGGAGCAGCCCAGAGUCUGAAUCAGCUUGUGUGUUAGUGGAACGGUCUGGAAAGUCCGACGGUACAGGGUGAUAGUCCCGUACACCAAAAUGCACAGGUUGUGAACUCGAAGAGUAGGGCGGGACACGUGGUAUCCUGUCUGAAUAUGGGGGGACCAUCCUCCAAGGCUAAAUACUCCUGACUGACCGAUAGUGAACCAGUACCGUGAGGGAAAGGCGAAAAGAACCCCGGCGAGGGGAGUGAAAAAGAACCUGAAACCGUGUACGUACAAGCAGUGGGAGCACCUUCGGGUGUGACUGCGUACCUUUUGUAUAAUGGGUCAGCGACUUAUAUUCUGUAGCAAGGUUAACCGUAUAGGGGAGCCGCAGGGAAACCGAGUCUUAACUGGGCGUUAAGUUGCAGGGUAUAGACCCGAAACCCGGUGAUCUAGCCAUGGGCAGGUUGAAGGUUGGGUAACACUAACUGGAGGACCGAACCGACUAAUGUUGAAAAAUUAGCGGAUGACUUGUGGCUGGGGGUGAAAGGCCAAUCAAACCGGGAGAUAGCUGGUUCUCCCCGAAAGCUAUUUAGGUAGCGCCUCGUGAACUCAUCUUCGGGGGUAGAGCACUGUUUCGGCUAGGGGGUCAUCCCGACUUACCAACCCGAUGCAAACUACGAAUACCGAAGAAUGUUAUCACGGGAGACACACGGCGGGUGCUAACGUCCGUCGUGAAGAGGGAAACAACCCAGACCGCCAGCUAAGGUCCCAAAGUCAUGGUUAAGUGGGAAACGAUGUGGGAAGGCACAGACAGCCAGGAUGUUGGCUUAGAAGCAGCCAUCAUUUAAAGAAAGCGUAAUAGCUCACUGGUCGAGUCGGCCUGCGCGGAAGAUGUAACGGGGCUAAACCAUGCACCGAAGCUGCGGCAGCGACACUAUGUGUUGUUGGGUAGGGGAGCGUUCUGUAAGCCUGCGAAGGUGUGCUGUGAGGCAUGCUGGAGGUAUCAGAAGUGCGAAUGCUGACAUAAGUAACGAUAAAGCGGGUGAAAAGCCCGCUCGCCGGAAGACCAAGGGUUCCUGUCCAACGUUAAUCGGGGCAGGGUGAGUCGACCCCUAAGGCGAGGCCGAAAGGCGUAGUCGAUGGGAAACAGGUUAAUAUUCCUGUACUUGGUGUUACUGCGAAGGGGGGACGGAGAAGGCUAUGUUAGCCGGGCGACGGUUGUCCCGGUUUAAGCAUGUAGGCUGGUUAUCCAGGCAAAUCCGGAUAAUCAAGGCUGAGGUGUGAUGACGAGGCACUACGGUGCUGAAGUAACAAAUGCCCUGCUUCCAGGAAAAGCCUCUAAGCAUCAGGUAACAUCAAAUCGUACCCCAAACCGACACAGGUGGUCAGGUAGAGAAUACCAAGGCGCUUGAGAGAACUCGGGUGAAGGAACUAGGCAAAAUGGUGCCGUAACUUCGGGAGAAGGCACGCUGGUGUGUAGGUGAAGUCCCUGCGGAUGGAGCUGAGACCAGUCGAAGAUACCAGCUGGCUGCAACUGUUUAUUAAAAACACAGCACUGUGCAAACACGAAAGUGGACGUAUACGGUGUGACGCCUGCCCGGUGCCGGAAGGUUAAUUGAUGGGGUUAUCCGUAAGGAGAAGCUCUUGAUCGAAGCCCCGGUAAACGGCGGCCGUAACUAUAACGGUCCUAAGGUAGCGAAAUUCCUUGUCGGGUAAGUUCCGACCUGCACGAAUGGCGUAAUGAUGGCCAGGCUGUCUCCACCCGAGACUCAGUGAAAUUGAACUCGCUGUGAAGAUGCAGUGUACCCGCGGCAAGACGGAAAGACCCCGUGAACCUUUACUAUAGCUUGACACUGAACAUUGAGCCUUGAUGUGUAGGAUAGGUGGGAGGCUUUGAAGCGUGGACGCCAGUCUGCGUGGAGCCAACCUUGAAAUACCACCCUUUAAUGUUUGAUGUUCUAACGUUGGCCCCUGACCGGGGUUGCGGACAGUGUCUGGUGGGUAGUUUGACUGGGGCGGUCUCCUCCCAAAGCGUAACGGAGGAGCACGAAGGUUAGCUAAUCCUGGUCGGACAUCAGGAGGUUAGUGCAAUGGCAUAAGCUAGCUUGACUGCGAGCGUGACGGCGCGAGCAGGUGCGAAAGCAGGUCAUAGUGAUCCGGUGGUUCUGAAUGGAAGGGCCAUCGCUCAACGGAUAAAAGGUACUCCGGGGAUAACAGGCUGAUACCGCCCAAGAGUUCAUAUCGACGGCGGUGUUUGGCACCUCGAUGUCGGCUCAUCACAUCCUGGGGCUGAAGUAGGUCCCAAGGGUAUGGCUGUUCGCCAUUUAAAGUGGUACGCGAGCUGGGUUUAGAACGUCGUGAGACAGUUCGGUCCCUAUCUGCCGUGGGCGCUGGAGAAUUGAGGGGGGCUGCUCCUAGUACGAGAGGACCGGAGUGGACGCAUCACUGGUGUUCGGGUUGUCAUGCCAAUGGCACUGCCCGGUAGCUAAAUGCGGAAGAGAUAAGUGCUGAAAGCAUCUAAGCACGAAACUUGCCCCGAGAUGAGUUCUCCCUGAGACUUUAAGUCUCCUGAAGGAACGUUGAAGACGACGACGUUGAUAGGCCGGGUGUGUAAGCGCAGCGAUGCGUUGAGCUAACCGGUACUAAUGAACCGUGAGGCUUAACCUU
RNAcentral lists this ribosomal RNA (2758 nucleotides) under Klebsiella pneumoniae. RNAcentral's name for it is "bacterial LSU rRNA". It matches the Rfam family "Bacterial large subunit ribosomal RNA". The record is from RNAcentral. Lineage: Bacteria; Pseudomonadati; Pseudomonadota; Gammaproteobacteria; Enterobacterales; Enterobacteriaceae.